AUACGUAGGGGGCGAGCGUUGUCCGGAAUUAUUUGGCGUAAAGGGCGCGUAGGCGGUGACACAAGUCAGGUGAUAAAGGCACGGGCUCAACCGGUGUUAGGUACUUGAUACUGUGUUGCUAGAGUGCAGGAGAGGGGAGUGGAAUUCCAGGUGUAGCGGUGAAAUGCGUAGAUAUCUGGAAGAACACCAGUGGCGAAGGCGGCUCUCUGGACUGCAACUGACGCUGAGGCGCGAAAGCUGGGGGAGCAAACAGGAUUAGAUACCCUGGUAGUCCCAGCCGUAAACGAUGAACACUAGGUGUAGGGGGUAUCGACCCCCCCGGUGCCGGAGCUAACGCAAUAAGUGUUCCGCCUGGGGAGUACGGCCGCAAGGUUGAA
RNAcentral lists this ribosomal RNA (377 nucleotides) under uncultured bacterium. Its description in RNAcentral is "bacterial SSU rRNA". It matches the Rfam family "Bacterial small subunit ribosomal RNA", at positions 523 to 898 of the family's 1533-position model. The record is from RNAcentral.